RNAcentral lists this ribosomal RNA (465 nucleotides) under uncultured Klebsiella sp. RNAcentral describes it as "bacterial SSU rRNA". It matches the Rfam family "Bacterial small subunit ribosomal RNA", at positions 338 to 795 of the family's 1533-position model. Lineage: Bacteria; Pseudomonadati; Pseudomonadota; Gammaproteobacteria; Enterobacterales; Enterobacteriaceae. The record is from RNAcentral.
CCUACGGGCGGCUGCAGUGGGGAAUAUUGCACUAUGGGCGCAAGCCUGAUGCAGCCAUACCGCGUGUGUGAAGAAGGCCUUCGGGUUGUAAAGCACUUUCAGCGGGGAGGAAGGCGGUGAGGUUAAUAACCUCAUCGAUUGACGUUACCCGCAGAAGAAGCACCGGCUAACUCCGUGCCAGCAGCCGCGGUAAUACGGAGGGUGCAAGCGUUAAUCGGAAUUACUGGGCGUAAAGCGCACGCAGGCGGUCUGUCAAGUCGGAUGUGAAAUCCCCGGGCUCAACCUGGGAACUGCAUUCGAAACUGGCAGGCUAGAGUCUUGUAGAGGGGGGUAGAAUUCCAGGUGUAGCGGUGAAAUGCGUAGAGAUCUGGAGGAAUACCGGUGGCGAAGGCGGCCCCCUGGACAAAGACUGACGCUCAGGUGCGAAAGCGUGGGGAGCAAACAGGAUUAGAUACCCUUGUAGUC